GGGCUGUUAGCUCAGUUGGUAGAGCAGUGGACUCUUAAUCCAUCGGUCGCGGGUUCGAAUCCCUCACAGCCCA
RNAcentral lists this transfer RNA (73 nucleotides) under Mangrovibacter plantisponsor. Its description in RNAcentral is "tRNA-Lys". It matches the Rfam family "tRNA". Rfam says of the family: Transfer RNA (tRNA) molecules are approximately 80 nucleotides in length. Their secondary structure includes four short double-helical elements and three loops (D, anti-codon, and T loops). The record is from RNAcentral. Lineage: Bacteria; Pseudomonadati; Pseudomonadota; Gammaproteobacteria; Enterobacterales; Enterobacteriaceae. RNAcentral also lists the same sequence under 1 other name.